Molecule: long non-coding RNA, 1039 nt
Filed under: Sparus aurata (gilthead seabream)
Lineage: Eukaryota; Metazoa; Chordata; Actinopteri; Spariformes; Sparidae
Description: lncRNA (ENSSAUG00010024572.1)
Source: RNAcentral
AGAAGCAGAAGAAGACGCAGAAGACAAGAAGAAGAAGUAGAAGAAGACGCAGAAGAAGUAGAAGAAGAAGAAGAAGAAGUAGAAGAAGAAAUCUUUGGUUGACCGACAACUGACAGGCCCGAGCCGAAGCCGAAGCACCGUGACGUGAGGAUCUAAAUGUGGAGGUUCGAACAUAACAUAUUGAUGACGGUCCAAUUAGCACGUAGCCUGCAGAGCGUCUGAUGGUGUCGUGCUGAUGAGCUUCAUGCCUGUAUAUGUGAGGUGAAGGUGUGAUGAAGGUUUCUCCGCCUCACAAACAUGAACGGGGGAACAGAGCUCUCCGCUGCAUGUUAAUGCGAUCAAUCCAACACGUACGCCAGCAGUGAACGAGCUCGAUGCUGCAUGUUAAAAACAACAGAAGACGGACGCUACAGAAACAGAUGAAAAGAAAUCUACUCCACUUACAAGCCCGGAGACACUUUCUCGCAGCGAAGAACGGAUCCGGAGAAGAAGUGACGCCGAGAGGAGCAGCAGAAAACCAGGAAACAGACUGAAGAGGUCGGUGUGUUUACUGGGGAAACUGAGAGUCAGUGAAGCCAAAAUGAAUAACUUGUUUCUAAUCUGAGCAUUCCUGUAACGUUCGGAUUCCCUCAGAUACCAAACAAGACAAGUAUAAAGACACGUAUGUCAUUCUUUGUGUUAACAUUGUACUCCUGUUAGUAAUCCCCCUUUUUUGCUUGCUGUAUCUGUAAUCCAAUUACAUCAUUUAGUAGCUGUAAUCCUUUCUUGUGUCCUGAUUACAGAAUCCCAUUACUUGUGUUUGAGAACACGGAGUCUCUGGAGAAUCACAGACUUCUGACUCAUGUUAUUGCUCCAUUCGCUGCUACAACCCAAGAGCUGCUGUGAUGAGCUAGUGUCAUCAAAGUAAUCUAAAAAAUAAUGUAGUAGACGUCAGACAGAUACGAGAGAGCGUGUGUUCAUGCAGCUCAGUCGUGGACUUCUGAGUCCGGUGUGUGACUGAUGGCGGUCGGGUCGUCUGCUUCACCUUUCCUGCACGGUU